UGAAAAGAUGAGUAUGAUGAGUUGGCUUACACUCGCCACAAGCUACAUCAGAGUCACAUCAGUACAAUACAUACAAUCAUCAUGAAGAAGAGCAGGGUUCGUAUAAAGACAAAAAUAAACGAUAAAAGAACGACGUCCAUCCUUGCUAUACCAGGCUGCCGGCCUCGAACCCAUCCUAGAUCGAUGAAGAAGAAGAAGAAGAAACUCCAAAUAGCACAAUCAGCACGCUCACGUCAAAGUAACCCUUUACCUAUAUCUGCAAUUGGUGUUGUAGUAAUCUGUGAGCCACAGGGAGUUAGCAAUCUCAUUUCCAAAGGUAUCAAAACUACCAAAGCUUAAUGGGUGAGGUAUGGUUAAGUGGUGAGGCUGCAGCACACGACUAAGCAUUUAUUUGAGGUGACUAACUUACGAGUAAAAGAAUAAAAGAGGGGGAUUAUCUACACAUAAACGAUCGUUAACUAAUAAUGAUCAAAUGAAUGAUCCUGAACAUCUACUUACGUCAGACAUAACCCCACCGUGUCCUUGAUCGGAGAAGGAGCUCAUGAAAGAGACAGACACAGUUACACACUCAGUUGGCAAGUUUUAAUUAACUUUACUACAAUUAUGUAAAACUGGAUGUUAGACAAAGUUUCCAAGUUGCCACAUAACCGCACGCACAACUUUCCGAAAUUUUUAACCCUACAGCAGCAGAAUGACCUCGAUCAGGGAAUCCCGUGAUCUCCUCGGGUUCCUAUUGGAAAAUCUCAACCUCGAGAUAACCCAAUGUUCCUCGGAAUCCCUCGCACAAGACGCUCGAGAAAGGUAAAACAAGUCCAGCAAGACCGCCCGGCGUGUCGACGAUCCCGAUAGAAGCCGCGUAUCUCGUUCUCAGGACACGACGGAUGGGCUAUGGUUACCACGCCGGACGACGAGUUGCCCCGGGUAGCGUUAAUAAGCUGCUCUGUUUGCAACCAACACCAUCAAUACUGACCCCCCUGUAUUAUGUUGAAUUACUUCUCGGGAUCAUGGCACCCUAUGGUGUUGGAAGAAGAAUGACUCCGUAAAGCAGAUGAACCAACGUAGUCGAACGGAGCUUCAUAUUUCGACACGCUUGCGAAACUCUAUCGAGACGAAGCAAACCGGAAGCAAUAAUCAACACGAAAAUCACCAUGGCACAUGCAAGAC
This 1164-nucleotide long non-coding RNA is filed under the name Hordeum vulgare. RNAcentral's name for it is "long non-coding RNA (HVUL_LNC007234)". Lineage: Eukaryota; Viridiplantae; Streptophyta; Magnoliopsida; Poales; Poaceae. The record is from RNAcentral.